This 125-nucleotide microRNA precursor is filed under the name Ectocarpus siliculosus. RNAcentral's name for it is "miR8618a stem-loop (esi-MIR8618a)". The record is from miRBase by way of RNAcentral. Lineage: Eukaryota; Phaeophyceae; Ectocarpales; Ectocarpaceae.
GUAUGGCCUGUGACCGCUCGAACAGCUGUUCGGCCUCAAUGUAAUUGCCCUGGCAUGCAGUACGACAAACGCCAGGGCAAGUACGAAGAGGCUGAGCCACUCUACGAGCGGUCACAGGCCAUAAC